RNAcentral lists this ribosomal RNA (260 nucleotides) under uncultured bacterium. Its description in RNAcentral is "partial 16S ribosomal RNA". It matches the Rfam family "Bacterial small subunit ribosomal RNA", at positions 94 to 354 of the family's 1533-position model. The record is from RNAcentral.
AGCGGCGGACGGGUGAGUAACGCGUGGGUAACCUGCCUCAUACAGGGGGAUAACAGUUAGAAAUGACUGCUAAUACCGCAUAAGCGCACAGGACCGCAUGGUCAAGUGUGAAAAACUCCGGUGGUAUGAGAUGGACCCGCGUCUGAUUAGUUAGUUGGUGGGGUAACGGCCCACCAAGGCGACGAUCAGUAGCCGGCCUGAGAGGGUGAACGGCCACAUUGGGACUGAGACACGGCCCAAACUCCUACGGGAGGCAGCAG